Molecule: ribosomal RNA, 253 nt
Filed under: uncultured bacterium
Lineage: Bacteria
Description: partial 16S ribosomal RNA
Rfam family: Bacterial small subunit ribosomal RNA
Source: RNAcentral
CGGGUGAGUAACGCGUGAGUAACCUGCCUUCAAGAGGGGGAUAACAUUCUGAAAAGAAUGCUAAUACCGCAUGACAUAUCGGAACCACAUGGUUUUGAUAUCAAAGAUUUUAUCGCUUGAAGAUGGACUCGCGUCCGAUUAGUUAGUUGGUGAGGUAACGGCUCACCAAGACCGCGAUCGGUAGCCGGACUGAGAGGUUGAACGGCCACAUUGGGACUGAGACACGGCCCAGACUCCUACGGGAGGCAGCAUG